ACGAGCCUCCAAAGUUGCCUCCUCCACACU
Molecule: small RNA, 30 nt
Filed under: Arabidopsis thaliana (thale cress)
Lineage: Eukaryota; Viridiplantae; Streptophyta; Magnoliopsida; Brassicales; Brassicaceae
Description: ATSL150400
Source: RNAcentral